This 577-nucleotide unclassified non-coding RNA is filed under the name Hevea brasiliensis (rubber tree). Lineage: Eukaryota; Viridiplantae; Streptophyta; Magnoliopsida; Malpighiales; Euphorbiaceae. The record is from RNAcentral.
GGAGAACAAAAAAAUUUAAGGGAUAGAAAAUGGGGAGUAACAUUAGUUUUGUCUUCCUGUUUCAGAUUUGGUGAGAAUGGGAGGAAGGAAAAUGAGGAGUAAUUAUAUAUAAAUAUUUAUAUAUAUUUAUGCCCUUCAUUAUAUUUGUUUGGAAAUGUAAGAAAAUUUGAGGGUUAAAAUUUUGAAUACUAAAAUUACAAUUAUGCCCUUUAUUAUUUAAUAUAAAGCAAAAUGAUUGGGGUAUAUGUAUGAAAGGCUUUACCUAUAGAAUUAAUGCGAGUCUUUUUUGUUGUAAACUUUAUAUAGUUUCAAAAAUAAAGCUACUUUUGGUGGGUUAGAAACUUAGAGAAGGAAGACCAUUAGUGAGUUCCAGGAAAAUGUGGUAUGGUGUGCAAUUGUUGCUUGACGUCAGUCCUACACUCUUCUAAAGCUGUCUCUGCUCCUCAAAGGUUUUAGCUUAGGGUUUUCCUAGGCUUUCUUUGUCAUAAAUGAGAAGAAAGGGUGAGCAGUAGUAGUUCAGUUCCUACAGUUUUUAAUUGAUAUAAUGCAAUGUUAUCAUCUAAUAAUUUUUGUUGAU